RNAcentral lists this ribosomal RNA (117 nucleotides) under Escherichia coli. RNAcentral's name for it is "partial 16S ribosomal RNA". It matches the Rfam family "Bacterial small subunit ribosomal RNA", at positions 1 to 109 of the family's 1533-position model. RNAcentral also lists the same sequence under 1 other name. Lineage: Bacteria; Pseudomonadati; Pseudomonadota; Gammaproteobacteria; Enterobacterales; Enterobacteriaceae. The record is from RNAcentral.
UUAAAUUGAAGAGUUUGAUCAUGGCUCAGAUUGAACGCUGGCGGCAGGCCUAACACAUGCAAGUCGAACGGUAACAGGAAGCGCUUGCUGCUUCGCUGACGAGUGGCGGACGGGUGA